RNAcentral lists this ribosomal RNA (2598 nucleotides) under Escherichia coli. Its description in RNAcentral is "partial 23S ribosomal RNA". It matches the Rfam family "Bacterial large subunit ribosomal RNA", at positions 344 to 2925 of the family's 2925-position model. Lineage: Bacteria; Pseudomonadati; Pseudomonadota; Gammaproteobacteria; Enterobacterales; Enterobacteriaceae. The record is from RNAcentral.
GGAAAGGCGCGCGAUACAGGGUGACAGCCCCGUACACAAAAAUGCACAUGCUGUGAGCUCGAUGAGUAGGGCGGGACACGUGGUAUCCUGUCUGAAUAUGGGGGGACCAUCCUCCAAGGCUAAAUACUCCUGACUGACCGAUAGUGAACCAGUACCGUGAGGGAAAGGCGAAAAGAACCCCGGCGAGGGGAGUGAAAAAGAACCUGAAACCGUGUACGUACAAGCAGUGGGAGCACGCUUAGGCGUGUGACUGCGUACCUUUUGUAUAAUGGGUCAGCGACUUAUAUUCUGUAGCAAGGUUAACCGAAUAGGGGAGCCGAAGGGAAACCGAGUCUUAACUGGGCGUUAAGUUGCAGGGUAUAGACCCGAAACCCGGUGAUCUAGCCAUGGGCAGGUUGAAGGUUGGGUAACACUAACUGGAGGACCGAACCGACUAAUGUUGAAAAAUUAGCGGAUGACUUGUGGCUGGGGGUGAAAGGCCAAUCAAACCGGGAGAUAGCUGGUUCUCCCCGAAAGCUAUUUAGGUAGCGCCUCGUGAAUUCAUCUCCGGGGGUAGAGCACUGUUUCGGCAAGGGGGUCAUCCCGACUUACCAACCCGAUGCAAACUGCGAAUACCGGAGAAUGUUAUCACGGGAGACACACGGCGGGUGCUAACGUCCGUCGUGAAGAGGGAAACAACCCAGACCGCCAGCUAAGGUCCCAAAGUCAUGGUUAAGUGGGAAACGAUGUGGGAAGGCCCAGACAGCCAGGAUGUUGGCUUAGAAGCAGCCAUCAUUUAAAGAAAGCGUAAUAGCUCACUGGUCGAGUCGGCCUGCGCGGAAGAUGUAACGGGGCUAAACCAUGCACCGAAGCUGCGGCAGCGACGCUGAUGCGUUGUUGGGUAGGGGAGCGUUCUGUAAGCCUGCGAAGGUGUGCUGUGAGGCAUGCUGGAGGUAUCAGAAGUGCGAAUGCUGACAUAAGUAACGAUAAAGCGGGUGAAAAGCCCGCUCGCCGGAAGACCAAGGGUUCCUGUCCAACGUUAAUCGGGGCAGGGUGAGUCGACCCCUAAGGCGAGGCCGAAAGGCGUAGUCGAUGGGAAACAGGUUAAUAUUCCUGUACUUGGUGUUACUGCGAAGGGGGGACGGAGAAGGCUAUGUUGGCCGGGCGACGGUUGUCCCGGUUUAAGCGUGUAGGCUGGUUUUCCAGGCAAAUCCGGAAAAUCAAGGCUGAGGCGUGAUGACGAGGCACUACGGUGCUGAAGCAACAAAUGCCCUGCUUCCAGGAAAAGCCUCUAAGCAUCAGGUAACAUCAAAUCGUACCCCAAACCGACACAGGUGGUCAGGUAGAGAAUACCAAGGCGCUUGAGAGAACUCGGGUGAAGGAACUAGGCAAAAUGGUGCCGUAACUUCGGGAGAAGGCACGCUGAUAUGUAGGUGAAGUCCCUCGCGGAUGGAGCUGAAAUCAGUCGAAGAUACCAGCUGGCUGCAACUGUUUAUUAAAAACACAGCACUGUGCAAACACGAAAGUGGACGUAUACGGUGUGACGCCUGCCCGGUGCCGGAAGGUUAAUUGAUGGGGUUAGCGCAAGCGAAGCUCUUGAUCGAAGCCCCGGUAAACGGCGGCCGUAACUAUAACGGUCCUAAGGUAGCGAAAUUCCUUGUCGGGUAAGUUCCGACCUGCACGAAUGGCGUAAUGAUGGCCAGGCUGUCUCCACCCGAGACUCAGUGAAAUUGAACUCGCUGUGAAGAUGCAGUGUACCCGCGGCAAGACGGAAAGACCCCGUGAACCUUUACUAUAGCUUGACACUGAACAUUGAGCCUUGAUGUGUAGGAUAGGUGGGAGGCUUUGAAGUGUGGACGCCAGUCUGCAUGGAGCCGACCUUGAAAUACCACCCUUUAAUGUUUGAUGUUCUAACGUUGACCCGUAAUCCGGGUUGCGGACAGUGUCUGGUGGGUAGUUUGACUGGGGCGGUCUCCUCCUAAAGAGUAACGGAGGAGCACGAAGGUUGGCUAAUCCUGGUCGGACAUCAGGAGGUUAGUGCAAUGGCAUAAGCCAGCUUGACUGCGAGCGUGACGGCGCGAGCAGGUGCGAAAGCAGGUCAUAGUGAUCCGGUGGUUCUGAAUGGAAGGGCCAUCGCUCAACGGAUAAAAGGUACUCCGGGGAUAACAGGCUGAUACCGCCCAAGAGUUCAUAUCGACGGCGGUGUUUGGCACCUCGAUGUCGGCUCAUCACAUCCUGGGGCUGAAGUAGGUCCCAAGGGUAUGGCUGUUCGCCAUUUAAAGUGGUACGCGAGCUGGGUUUAGAACGUCGUGAGACAGUUCGGUCCCUAUCUGCCGUGGGCGCUGGAGAACUGAGGGGGGCUGCUCCUAGUACGAGAGGACCGGAGUGGACGCAUCACUGGUGUUCGGGUUGUCAUGCCAAUGGCACUGCCCGGUAGCUAAAUGCGGAAGAGAUAAGUGCUGAAAGCAUCUAAGCACGAAACUUGCCCCGAGAUGAGUUCUCCCUGACUCCUUGAGAGUCCUGAAGGAACGUUGAAGACGACGACGUUGAUAGGCCGGGUGUGUAAGCGCAGCGAUGCGUUGAGCUAACCGGUACUAAUGAACCGUGAGGCUUAACCUU